AUGUCCCUCACCCCCACCUACACCCCCCUGCUGAGAAAAACAAAGCCCCAGACAAAGACAAUAAAAACCUGGCCUGAAGGAGCCCUCUCUCAACUGCAGGACUGCUUCUCAUCUACUGUAUGGGAUUUAUUCUCCAGCCACAACCUCCAGGAGUACACGGACACUGUACUCUCGUACAUCAGGAACUGUGUUGACAAUGUCACCGUCAACAAAAGGGUCAGGGUGUUUCCAAAUCAAAAACCCUGGAUGAAUAGCGAAGUGCAAUCCCUCCUAAAAAGCCGCAACACUGCCUUCAAGUCAGGGGACAGGGCUGCGUAUAGGGCGGCCAGGGCAGACCUGAGUAGAGGCAUCAGGAAAGCUAAGGCUGCCUAUAGGAGGAGGAUUGAAGAUCACUUUGCUGACAACGACCCCAGAAAAAUGUGGCAGGGGAUCAAUCACAUUACCAACUACAGAAGCAAUAACCAGGUGACAUCUAGGAUUGAUGCCUCGCUGGCUGAGGAUCUAAAUCGUUUGUUCGCCCGCUUUGAGACGACCAGACCCUCAGCUGUCACACCACUUCCACCCGCCCCCAGCACCGGCACACUAACACUUAGGGAGCAUCAAGUGAGGUGUGUUCUAAGGUCAGUGAAUCCCAGGAAGGCGGCAGGUCCUGAUGGAAUACAUGGAAAGGUUCUCAGAGCAUGUGCUGACGAACUGACCGGAGUCUUCACUAAAAUCUUCAACCUUUCCUUGUCAUUAAACACCGUCCCGCCCUGCCUCAAAACCUCCACCAUCAUCCCCAUCGCCAAGAAGACAGCUGUGGUCAGCCCAAAUGAUUACAGGCCUGUUGCACUUACGCCUGUAGUGAUGAAGUGCUUUGAGAGACUGGUCUGUCAGCACAUCAGGGCCAGUCUGCCUCCCACUUUGGACCCCCACCAAUUUGCCUACAGGACUAAUCGAUCCACCGAGGACGCUAUCACCAUAGCGCUCCACACUGCGCUGAGUCACCUGGAGCACAUAGGAAGCUAUGUGAGAAUGCUCUUUCUGGACUUCAGCUCAGCAUUCAAUCACAUCAUCCCAGAGAUCCUGGUCCAGAAACUGUCUCACCUGGGACUCUCCACCCCCAUCUGCCUCUGGAUCAAGGACUUCCUGACAAACAGACCACAGUCUGUCAGACUCGGCCCCCACCUGUCCAGCACCAUCACACUCAGCACCGGGUCUCCACAAGGAUGUGUUCUGAGUCCCCUCCUGUUUACGCUCUACACAUCCGACUGCUCCCCUACCCAUCUCUCAAACACCAUCAUAAAGUUUGCGGACGACACCACUGUGGUUGGACUCAUCUCAAGGGGGGAUGAGUCGGACUACAGAGAUGAGGUCAACAGACUGACUGAGUAG
Molecule: long non-coding RNA, 1374 nt
Filed under: Oreochromis niloticus (Nile tilapia)
Lineage: Eukaryota; Metazoa; Chordata; Actinopteri; Cichliformes; Cichlidae
Description: lncRNA (ENSONIG00000038357.1)
Source: RNAcentral